GAAAUGGGCCGCACACAAGCUGUCAGCGGUGCAGUCGUCCUAAUGCUGGUCUCCUUGAUUGCAGCAUCAACAGGAGAAUGGCUUCCGCCGGCAUUUUCACAGGACUACAUCACAUUUUACUGGGACACCACGGGCUUCAAUGAAACGGAAGAUGGAAAAUUUCGAAAAUUUGUGGUUCAGCUGUAUAAGACAAAGAACAACAGCUGUGAUGAUGUGAUUCACCCUCCGAUGGUAGAAGAAAUCCCUGUGUACUACCUACAGGAGGCCACCUUUACACGUCUGAAUCUUAGUCACUUGUACUGCAGGUAAU
Branchiostoma floridae (Florida lancelet) is the source of this 310-nucleotide long non-coding RNA. RefSeq lists it as uncharacterized. NCBI's taxonomy places the organism in Eukaryota, Metazoa, Chordata, Leptocardii, Amphioxiformes, Branchiostomatidae. The transcript is spliced from 3 exons. The record is from RefSeq and is a predicted model, not a curated record.